Cryptomeria japonica (Japanese cedar) is the source of this 73-nucleotide non-coding RNA. The record is from the annotation of a RefSeq genome assembly. Lineage: Eukaryota; Viridiplantae; Streptophyta; Pinopsida; Cupressales; Cupressaceae.
CCGAUCUUAGCUCAGUUGGUAGAGCGGAGGACUGUAGAUCCUUAGGUCGCUGGUUCGAUUCCGGCAGAUCGGA